AUCGCUUCUCGGCCUUUUGGCUAAGAUAAAGUGUAGUAUCUGUUCUUAUCAGUUUAAUAUCUGAUAUGUUUUCCAUGUGAGGACUACAUAUUAAACAGAUUUUUAGCACUGGGAGCUGAAAAAGGGGCUUUUUCCUUUCACUCCACGCAUCGACCUGGCAUUGCAGUGCUGCCGGGAACGGUGCACCCUUC
This 191-nucleotide small nuclear RNA is filed under the name Amphiprion ocellaris (clown anemonefish). RNAcentral's name for it is "U2 spliceosomal RNA". It matches the Rfam family "U2 spliceosomal RNA". Rfam says of the family: U2 is a small nuclear RNA (snRNA) component of the spliceosome (involved in pre-mRNA splicing). The record is from Rfam by way of RNAcentral. Lineage: Eukaryota; Metazoa; Chordata; Actinopteri; Pomacentridae.